This 480-nucleotide ribosomal RNA is filed under the name uncultured bacterium. RNAcentral describes it as "partial 16S ribosomal RNA". It matches the Rfam family "Bacterial small subunit ribosomal RNA", at positions 28 to 507 of the family's 1533-position model. The record is from RNAcentral.
GACGAACGCUGGCGGCGUGCUUAACACAUGCAAGUCGAACGAUGAAGCAAAGAAUUGAAGCUUCGGCAGAAAUUCAUUUCGGAUUAGUGGCAGACGGGUGAGUAACGCGUGAGCAACCUACCUCUUACAAAGGGAUAGCCUCGGGAAACCGGGAUUAAUACCAUAUAACAUUGCGACGAAGCAUUUCGAUGCAAUCAAAGCUACGGCGGUAAGAGAUGGGCUCGCGUCCCAUUAACCAGAUGGUGAGGUAACGGCUCACCAUAGUAACGAUGGGUAACCGGGCUGAGAGGGUGAACGGUCACACUGGAACUGAGACACGGUCCAGACUCCUACGGGAGGCAGCAGUGGGGAAUAUUGCACAAUGGAGGGAACUCUGAUGCAGCGACGCCGCGUGAGUGAUGAAGGAAUUCGUUUCGUAAAACUCUGUUCUAUGGGAAGAAAAGGACUGUACCAUAGGAGAAAGCUCCGGCUAAAUACGUG